This 574-nucleotide long non-coding RNA is filed under the name Sus scrofa (pig). Its description in RNAcentral is "lncRNA (ENSSSCG00040041831.1)". The record is from RNAcentral. Lineage: Eukaryota; Metazoa; Chordata; Mammalia; Artiodactyla; Suidae.
AUUUCACUGUUCUAGACAUUACGAACUUUUAGGAAGUUAAAAAUACUUUAGAUUAGUAUUCUUAGCAUGUUAUUUAACUUAUAUUUUCACAGCUAAUACUAGAUGAAGUUGGGACACAAAACAGAUCAAAAACUGUUCUCUCCUUAUUACAAUGCUAUUCUACUGAUUAUUUGGGAACACACCAGUGUAACAUCCCUCCCAGCAAACUGUGUGCUGUUUUAAGAGGCUUGGUUCAUGUCUUCUUCACAUCUGCUCAUUUGGCUACAGUUGGACCUAGACUAAGGAGUUACACUGGAAUCAUCCAUGGGACGCCCAAAGAGCUGAUUCAUUUCACAGAGCUGUGUAUGCAGAGAACCCUACAAGAUUUUUGUAAGUUACCCUGAUUUAUAUCUAAGGUUUUUUUUUUGUUUGUUUUUUGGCUAUACUCAAGGCCUAUGGAAAUUCCCAGACCAGGUAUUGAAUUCAAGCUACAGCUGCAACCUAUGCUAGCUCUGGCAAUACCAGAUCCUUAAACCACUGCACUACAGAAGAAAUUCCCAAAUUAUUUUUAAAUUGGAUGCAAGGAAGCAAAUAU